CCUACGGGAGGCAGCAGUGAGGAAUAUUGGUCAAUGGACGCGAGUCUGAACCAGCCAAGUCGCGUGAAGGAUGACUGUCCUAUUGGUUGUAAACUUCUUUUAUAAAGGAAUAAAACGAGGCACGCGUGCCUUUUCGCAUGUACUUUAUGAAUAAGCAUCGGCUAACUCCGUGCCAGCAGCCGCGGUAAUACGGCGGAUCCGAGCGUUAUCCGGAUUUAUUGGGUUUAAAGGGAGCGUAGGUGGGUUGUUAAGUCAGUUGUGAAAGUUUGCGGCUCAACCGUAAAAUUGCAAUUGAUACUGGCAGUCUUGAGUACAGUUGAGGUAGGCGGAAUUCGUGGUGUAGCGGUGAAAUGCUUAGAUAUCACGAAGAACCCCGAUUGCGAAGGCAGCUUACUAACCUGUGACUGACAUUGAUGCACGAAAGUGUGGGUAUCAAACAGGAUUAGAUACCCGAGUAGUC
RNAcentral lists this ribosomal RNA (460 nucleotides) under uncultured bacterium. RNAcentral describes it as "partial 16S ribosomal RNA". It matches the Rfam family "Bacterial small subunit ribosomal RNA", at positions 338 to 795 of the family's 1533-position model. The record is from RNAcentral.